UACGAAGGGGGCUAGCGUUGCUCGGAAUGACUGGGCGUAAAGGGCGCGUAGGCGGAUGGCACAGUCAGAUGUGAAAUUCCCGGGCUUAACCUGGGGGCUGCAUUUGAUACGUGUUGUCUAGAGUGAGGAAGAGGGUUGUGGAAUUCCCAGUGUAGAGGUGAAAUUCGUAGAUAUUGGGAAGAACACCGGUGGCGAAGGCGGCAACCUGGUUCGAUACUGACACUGAGGUGCGAAAGCGUGGGGAGCAAACAGG
This 253-nucleotide ribosomal RNA is filed under the name uncultured bacterium. RNAcentral describes it as "partial 16S ribosomal RNA". It matches the Rfam family "Bacterial small subunit ribosomal RNA", at positions 524 to 776 of the family's 1533-position model. The record is from RNAcentral.